RNAcentral lists this long non-coding RNA (255 nucleotides) under Felis catus (domestic cat). Its description in RNAcentral is "lncRNA (ENSFCAG00000049187.1)". The record is from RNAcentral. Lineage: Eukaryota; Metazoa; Chordata; Mammalia; Carnivora; Felidae.
CUGUCCCCGCCGCUGGUGCCGUCGCAGCCCCGAGCGAAUUCCUGUUCGGGGGACGUCGCGACCGGCCGGCACGGCGCGCUCAGGCUCCGCACUGCCACUCCUGCGGGUCGCCCUCCCCGCGGGCGCGCAGACGGCGCGGGGACACACGGACCCCCAGGACCCCGCGAGCGCGGAACGCGCCGCAGCCCAGCGUGAGAGCCCUCCGGCCUGGGGCAGAUGUUUGUGCCUCGAGAGAGGGAUCAUCAAGACUGUAUG